UAGGGAAUCUUCCACAAUGGGCGAAAGCCUGAUGGAGCAACGCCGCGUGCGUGAUGAAGGCUUUCGGGUCGUAAAGCACUGUUGUAUGGGAAGAACAGCUAGAAUAGGAAAUGAUUUUAGUUUGACGGUACCAUACCAGAAAGGGACGGCUAAAUACGUGCCAGCAGCCGCGGUAAUACGUAUGUCCCGAGCGUUAUCCGGAUUUAUUGGGCGUAAAGCGAGCGCAGACGGUUUAUUAAGUCUGAUGUGAAAGCCCGGAGCUCAACUCCGGAAUGGCAUUGGAAACUGGUUAACUUGAGUGCAGUAGAGGUAAGUGGAACUCCAUGUGUAGCGGUGGAAUGCGUAGAUAUAUGGAAGAACACCAGUGGCGAAGGCGGCUUACUGGACUGCAACUGACGUUGAGGCUCGAAAGUGUGGGUAGCAAACAGG
Molecule: ribosomal RNA, 429 nt
Filed under: Acidobacteriota bacterium
Lineage: Bacteria; Pseudomonadati; Acidobacteriota
Description: Acidobacteria bacterium partial 16S ribosomal RNA
Rfam family: Bacterial small subunit ribosomal RNA
Source: RNAcentral